Molecule: long non-coding RNA, 710 nt
Organism: Ruditapes philippinarum (Manila clam)
Lineage: Eukaryota; Metazoa; Mollusca; Bivalvia; Venerida; Veneridae
Exons: 2
Source: RefSeq, a predicted model, not a curated record
GCUCGCGCUGGCAGGAGCCAAUGAGCAAAUUGGCUCCAAAAUUAUUAAAUUGGCUCAAGAAAAUCAUGAUUGGCUCCAACUUACGAAAAGUAUGACUUUGAAUAUCCAGUCUAAAUUUAGCAUUUGCUAUUUUAAGAAUGGAAAAGUACACAUUUGGUUUCCCAUUUACAACUCCGCUUUACCGCUUCUAAUCAUAAAACACUGCGACACAGUCUGCUUUUUGUGGGGUCAUUGACUGGACUAUAUUUGUUACUUCCCUUCCAAAUAGAAUAUCGUUAUAAACAGUAACACAGUCUAAUACACUUACCUCAUGGUAUGUUUACAUGUUUAUCAGCUGAUAAAUAGUGACACUAAUUGGUGUGAAUUGUUGAAUGUGCACUGGAUAAUUGGUCUUAAUUCGAUAUUGAAAAACAAUAACUAGCGGCAUCUUAAGAUUAUCGCCAAUCAUAUCAACAGCUUGGUAUGAAAUGGACGACUUUACGAUACAGGUAGUCCUCAAACCAAAUCUUUGGCAUUAACCAAGCAAGCUGAAGCAGCACAUUGAAAUGUGGUUCUGAUGUCACUGUCAUGCCACUAACUUAGAUUUUAUGAAAACAUUGCUGACCAAAUUAGCCUGGAAAAUGUUAUUCUUAUAGCUACUGAGCUGCAAGCUUUUAUGAUCAGUUUUAAAGUGAUUAAAAUGUAGCUACCAAAAUAAAGUUGGAUAUACA